Lynx canadensis (Canada lynx) is the source of this 203-nucleotide long non-coding RNA. RefSeq lists it as uncharacterized. The record is from RefSeq and is a predicted model, not a curated record. NCBI's taxonomy places the organism in Eukaryota, Metazoa, Chordata, Mammalia, Carnivora, Felidae. The transcript has 3 exons.
ACCGGAUCAUCUUCUGUGUCUUCUUAGAAGUUGACUUUAAAAUCUACAGAAAGAAAAUGGGCGAGUUUUUCCCUGCAGAUGAUAAUAAUGAAGACGAUGUUAACGUGAAAGAAGAUUCAGAGGUGUUAGAGCCAAAAGGCCUCUCUCCACCCCACAAGAAGAGCAAAGCAAAGAAGCCAGAGGGUUCCAAAGACUCUAGCGAA